CUUCUAACAAAUUAGAAAAUAGGAAAAAAAUUGCUGCCUCAAAAAAGUACAAUUGUAUUGGGAAACGCAUAACGUUCUUCAUAUAUACGUUGUGUAUCCAAUUAUACCGCACAAGAAAUUGACAGAUCGCAAUGGAUACGUAUUUGCCACAAUGCUGCUCUUGUAACAAUCUAAAUUAAAAUAUUAUAUUUAGAGUUAAUACGAUUUAUAAAAUAUACUGGAAACAUUGAUUGAAUAUAAUGAGUCAUAUGAUACAUAUUACAAUAUCUGAUGACCACAUAUUUUAACUUUUUGCAAUAAACAUAAUCAAUAAUUGGAAAAUAGGCUAUCGACAAUCAGCGCCGGUAAAAGUACGCAAUCCCGUCAUCAGUCACCGAAAACGGGAAGCAAUCGAGUGACCAACGGUUUGCCACAUAUGUAAUGGCAUCUUUACCCGUGGCUGUGCCGCAGGCAAUGACACUUAUUUGUAUACCUACCGUAUGUUUUGUUUUAAAUAGCGAAUAAUUAUCUUAAUUAUUUUUAUGAUUCACCCAUUGUGAUUGCGCUCUUUUACUCGCGUUCACUCUUAUUAGCCUAUUUAAAAAAUAUUAAUUGUGUUUAAAUUUUGAGAGUCCGGAACUAAUUAAUUGUUUUUACAAUUAACGAAAUAGCUCAUUAUUUAUGAAAUAUUUAACAAAACAAAAUUUAUUAACUUUAAAUA
Molecule: long non-coding RNA, 700 nt
Organism: Solenopsis invicta (red fire ant)
Lineage: Eukaryota; Metazoa; Arthropoda; Insecta; Hymenoptera; Formicidae
Exons: 3
Source: RefSeq, a predicted model, not a curated record